CCCACCCUCAGGCUCCGCCCCUGCCUCCGGGGCUAGACGCAGGAGGCGGGACUUCCGGCCGCCCGGCUCCCGCAAGAUGGCGGCCGCAGCGGCUGAGCCCCAUGGAUCUGCAUUAUGCAUUUAAUGCUAACUAAUGACAUUUCAGAGCCUGGUUCUGAAAAUACAGAACUUUAAAUUAAAAUAAGAAGCCUAAUAAAGAAUGAAAAAGAUGUUUCCUCUUUACUGAAGCUAUAAAGAGAGACAUCUUUUCUCAUCUUAAAACUUGGUCUCAGGAUUCGAUGAGAACCAGUAGCUUUGCAGGCCAUGAAUCUGUGAGCAGAUAGCUAAGAGUGUGAUGCCCAAGGGCUCUGUACACAAGUGCAGCGUUUUGUGAUCCGGGUCCAGCUAUGGGGGAUGGGGAAGAGGAAAAACCUGCCUGGGCGGGCUGCCAUCUGCCCGACACCCUGUGGAGGCUCUCAGGACUCAGGGAUGAACAUUCCUGUACACGGUAGCUGUGAAG
This is a long non-coding RNA of Pipistrellus kuhlii (Kuhl's pipistrelle), 499 nucleotides long. RefSeq lists it as uncharacterized. The transcript has 3 exons. The record is from RefSeq and is a predicted model, not a curated record. Lineage: Eukaryota; Metazoa; Chordata; Mammalia; Chiroptera; Vespertilionidae.